Molecule: ribosomal RNA, 925 nt
Filed under: uncultured bacterium
Lineage: Bacteria
Description: bacterial SSU rRNA
Rfam family: Bacterial small subunit ribosomal RNA
Source: RNAcentral
AGAGUUUGAUCCUGGCUCAGGAUGAACGCUAGCUACAGGCUUAACACAUGCAAGUCGAGGGGCAGCGGGAUUGAAGCUUGCUUCAAUUGCCGGCGACCGGCGCACGGGUGAGUAACGCGUAUCCAACCUUCCGUACACUCAGGGAUAGCCUUUCGAAAGAAAGAUUAAUACCUGAUGGUAUGAUGAGAUUGCAUGAUAGCAUCAUUAAAGAUUUAUCGGUGUACGAUGGGGAUGCGUUCCAUUAGGUAGUAGGCGGGGUAACGGCCCACCUAGCCAACGAUGGAUAGGGGUUCUGAGAGGAAGGUCCCCCACAUUGGAACUGAGACACGGUCCAAACUCCUACGGGAGGCAGCAGUGAGGAAUAUUGGUCAAUGGACGAGAGUCUGAACCAGCCAAGUAGCGUGAAGGAUGAAGGUCCUACGGAUUGUAAACUUCUUUUAUAAGGGAAUAAACCCUCCCACGUGUGGGAGCUUGUAUGUACCUUAUGAAUAAGCAUCGGCUAACUCCGUGCCAGCAGCCGCGGUAAUACGGAGGAUGCGAGCGUUAUCCGGAUUUAUUGGGUUUAAAGGGAGCGCAGACGGGUCGUUAAGUCAGCUGUGAAAGUUUGGGGCUCAACCUUAAAAUUGCAGUUGAUACUGGCGUCCUUGAGUGCGGUUGAGGUGUGCGGAAUUCGUGGUGUAGCGGUGAAAUGCUUAGAUAUCACGAAGAACUCCGAUUGCGAAGGCAGCACACUAAUCCGUAACUGACGUUCAUGCUCGAAAGUGUGGGUAUCAAACAGGAUUAGAUACCCUGGUAGUCCGCACGGUAAACGAUGGAUGCCCGCUGUUGGUCUGAAUAGGUCAGCGGCCAAGCGAAAGCAUUAAGCAUCCCACCUGGGGAGUACGCCGGCAACGGUGAAACUCAAAGGAAUUGACGGAAGGGCGAA